This 632-nucleotide ribosomal RNA is filed under the name uncultured bacterium. RNAcentral describes it as "bacterial SSU rRNA". The stretch from base 1 to 534 matches the Rfam family "Bacterial small subunit ribosomal RNA", at positions 338 to 873 of the family's 1533-position model. The record is from RNAcentral.
CCUACGGGAGGCAGCAGUGAGGAAUAUUGGACAAUGGGCGCAAGCCUGAUCCAGCCAUGCCGCGUGCAGGAUGACGGUCCUAUGGAUUGUAAACUGCUUUUAUACAGGAAGAAACACCUCUACGUGUAGAGACUUGACGGUACUGUAAGAAUAAGGAUCGGCUAACUCCGUGCCAGCAGCCGCGGUAAUACGGAGGAUCCAAGCGUUAUCCGGAAUCAUUGGGUUUAAAGGGUCCGUAGGCGGUUUAGUAAGUCAGUGGUGAAAGCCCAUCGCUCAACGGUGGAACGGCCAUUGAUACUGCUAGACUUGAAUUAUUAGGAAGUAACUAGAAUAUGUAGUGUAGCGGUGAAAUGCUUAGAGAUUACAUGGAAUACCAAUUGCGAAGGCAGGUUACUACUAAUUGAUUGACGCUGAUGGACGAAAGCGUGGGUAGCGAACAGGAUUAGAUACCCUGGUAGUCCACGCCGUAAACGAUGGAUACUAGCUGUUGGGAGCAAUCUCAGUGCGUAGACGAAGUAGAGUAAGUAUACCACCGUCGGGUAGGUACGUUACGUCGAAGAAGUAGUAAACGUUAAAGGUAAAGUUAGUACGGACGUAGAGACGUUAGCGACGGACGACGACGAGGGAGGAGG